AGUGAACGCUGGCGGUAGGCCUAACACAUGCAAGUCGAACGGCAGCACAGUAAGAGCUUGCUCUUACGGGUGGCGAGUGGCGGACGGGUGAGGAAUACAUCGGAAUCUACUUUUUCGUGGGGGAUAACGUAGGGAAACUUACGCUAAUACCGCAUACGACCUACGGGUGAAAGCAGGGGAUCUUCGGACCUUGCGCGAUUGAAUGAGCCGAUGUCGGAUUAGCUAGUUGGCGGGGUAAAGGCCCACCAAGGCGGCGAUCCGUAGCUGGUCUGAGAGGAGGGUAGGCCACACUGGAACUGAGACACGGUCCAGACUCCUACGGGAGGCAGCAGAGGGGAAUAUUGGACAAUGGGCGCAAGCCUGAUCCAGCCAUACCGCGUGGGUGAAGAAGGCCUUCGGGUUGUAAAGCCCUUUUGUUGGGAAAGAAAAGCAGCAGGUUAAUACCCCGCUGUUCUGACGGUACCCAAAGAAUAAGCACCGGCUAACUUCGUG
This 492-nucleotide ribosomal RNA is filed under the name uncultured bacterium. Its description in RNAcentral is "partial 16S ribosomal RNA". It matches the Rfam family "Bacterial small subunit ribosomal RNA", at positions 29 to 507 of the family's 1533-position model. The record is from RNAcentral.